UACGUGGGGACCAAGCGUUGUUCGGAUUUACUGGGCGUAAAGGGCGCGUAGGCGGCGCGGUAAGUCACUUGUGAAAUCUCUGAGCUUAACUCAGAACGGCCAAGUGAUACUGCAGUGCUAGAGUGUGGAAGGGGCAAUCGGAAUUCUUGGUGUAGCGGUGAAAUGCGUAGAUAUCAAGAGGAACACCUGAGGUGAAGGCGGGUUGCUGGGCCAACACUGACGCUGAUGCGCGAAAGCCAGGGGAGCAAACGGG
RNAcentral lists this ribosomal RNA (253 nucleotides) under uncultured bacterium. RNAcentral's name for it is "partial 16S ribosomal RNA". It matches the Rfam family "Bacterial small subunit ribosomal RNA", at positions 524 to 776 of the family's 1533-position model. The record is from RNAcentral.